RNAcentral lists this ribosomal RNA (253 nucleotides) under uncultured bacterium. RNAcentral's name for it is "partial 16S ribosomal RNA". It matches the Rfam family "Bacterial small subunit ribosomal RNA", at positions 524 to 776 of the family's 1533-position model. The record is from RNAcentral.
UACGUAGGGGGCAAGCGUUGUCCGGAAUUAUUGGGCGUAAAGCGCGUGUAGGCGGCUCGGUAAGUCUGCUGUGAAAGUCCAGGGCUCAACCCUGGAAUGCCGGUGGAUACUGUCGAGCUCGAGUCCGGAAGAGGCGAGUGGAAUUCCUGGUGUAGCGGUGAAAUGCGCAGAUAUCAGGAGGAACACCGAUGGCGAAGGCAGCUCGCUGGGACGGUACUGACGCUGAGGCGCGAAAGCGUGGGGAGCAAACAGG